Long non-coding RNA from Girardinichthys multiradiatus, 999 nucleotides. RefSeq lists it as uncharacterized. Lineage: Eukaryota; Metazoa; Chordata; Actinopteri; Cyprinodontiformes; Goodeidae. The record is from RefSeq and is a predicted model, not a curated record. The transcript is spliced from 3 exons.
CUCGCACGGACCCAGAAAGCCGCUCCUCGGACCGACAGCAAGAUGAUUGGGGGACAGUUGAGCAUGAAGGGGCCGGUCGGUAAAAGCAUUCUCUGGGAUGAAAUGUGAUUCUGCAUCGCUGACAGGUGAGCUGUUCUACGUUGGCCUGCCCUCCAGCUACAGCCUGCCCACCCUGGAGGUCCCCCUGCCGAGGCUCCCCUCCUAAGAAAGCGUCCGAAAGAAGGACCGCCAGAGGCAAAUCCACAUGAUGAUUGCUGACCGUUUUGGCCUCAAUGGACCCAUUGUUACUGAGUCUCCUCCAUCGUAUGAAGAGAGCAUUCAUCAGUUUGUGGAGCUGCCGUACAACAUCCUGUCAUCUAGCCUGGAUGUUUCCCCUCCUCAAAGAGUUUACACCAACAUAAACCCGUGUUACACCACAGAUAGCCCUGUUUUAUGUCCUGUUUGAUGUUGAACAUGUCUUGAAGCUCUGCAUCAGUUUGCUGCAGAACUUUCUGAUCCUGAUACCUCAAACUGAGCCAAAAACGUAUCCAAAGAGGAGCUGCAUCCCAUCUAUGAGAGGCACAUCUGAUUACUAAAACAAAGACAUUAACUUCUCUUAUACCAGGCUGGAACAAAAAAUAAGCAUUCCUGAGCAUAAACUAAGGUGGCGGGACAUCUUUCGGAAGAAGGAACGCAACAAGAAUGAAACCUGCCAAAAAAUAGAUGACCCGUAUUUACUUUUUGUCGAUGGCAGUGGUGUUGUUUAUGUUCCACUUGUAAAUAUGUUUUUAUUUAGUCCAUUUUCAGACUUUUAUUAUUAGGUAAACACACAUCUUAUGUUUUAAAUUUGUAAAUCAGAUAUUUGUUAGUCAAACAGAGCGAGGGAGAAAAAGGGUGCUAAACAUUUCUAUUCAUGAAGAAAAUUGCAUACAGUUAUUUUGAGUUUUAAUUAAGAGGAACGUCUUUUAUUGUGUUUUGUUUUCACUUCACUGUGCGUUAAUGGCUUGGUUUAAUCUAGCA